This 30-nucleotide non-coding RNA is filed under the name Cricetulus griseus (Chinese hamster). Lineage: Eukaryota; Metazoa; Chordata; Mammalia; Rodentia; Cricetidae. The record is from RNAcentral.
GUAGGUUUUAAGCCUUUAUUUCAGGUGUAG